This 854-nucleotide ribosomal RNA is filed under the name uncultured archaeon. RNAcentral's name for it is "bacterial SSU rRNA". It matches the Rfam family "Archaeal small subunit ribosomal RNA", at positions 85 to 922 of the family's 1478-position model. The record is from RNAcentral.
ACGGCUCAGUAACACGUAGCCAAUCUGCCCUCAGGACAGAGAUAACCCCGGGAAACUGGGGACAAUCCCUGAUAGGUGAGAAGGCCUGGAAUGGUUUCUCGCCCAAAAGGUACGGAACCAUGCAUCCGUUACCGCCUGAGGAUGGGGCUGCGGCCGAUCAGGUAGUUGGCGAGGUAACGGCUCACCAAGCCUAUAACCGGUACAGGCCGUGAAAGCGGGAGCCUGGAGAUGGGCACUGAGACAAGGGCCCAGGCCCUACGGGGCGCAGCAGCUACGAAAACUCUGCAAUGCGCGCAAGCGCGACAGGGCUACCCCGAGUGCCGUCCGCUGAGGAUGGCUUUUCUUUAGUUUAAUGAGCCAGAGGAAUAAGGGGAGGGCAAGCCUGGUGUCAGCCGCCGCGGUAAUACCAGCUCCCCGAGUGGUGGGGACUAUUAUUUGGCCUAAAGCGUCCGUAGCCGGUUCGGCAAGUCUUUCGUUAAAUCCAACGAUCUAAUCGUUGGACUGCGGGAGAUACUGCAGGACUAGGGGGCGGAAGAAGCCGACGGUACUCCUGGAGUAGGGGUAAAAUCCUGUAAUCCCAGGAGGACCACCAGUGGCGAAGGCGGUCGGCCUAGAACGCGCUCGACGGUGAGGGACGAAAGCUGGGGGAGCGAUCCGGAUUAAAUACCCCGGGUAGUCCCAGCUGUAAACGAUGCAGGCUAGGUGUUGGCGCGACUACGUGCCACUUCAGUGCCGCAGGGAAGCCAUUAAGCCCGCCGCCUGGGGAGUACGGCCGCAAGGCUGAAACUUAAAGGAAUUGGCGGGGGAGCACCACAAGGCGUGAAGCUUGCGGUUCAAUUGGAGUCAACGCCGGA